GAUGAACGCUGGCGGCGUGCCUAAUACAUGCAAGUCGAGCGAACGGACGAGAAGCUUGCUUCUCUGAUGUUAGCGGCGGACAGGUGAGUAACACGUGGAUAACCUACCUAUAAGACUGGGAUAACUUCGGGAAACCGGAGCUAAUACCGGAUAAUAUUUUGAACCGCAUGGUUCAAAAGUGAAAGACGGUCUUGCUGUCACUUAUAGAUGGAUCCGCGCUGCAUUAGCUAGUUGGUAAGGUAACGGCUUACCAAGGCAACGAUGCAUAGCCGACCUGAGAGGGUGAUCGGCCACACUGGAACUGAGACACGGUCCAGACUCCUACGGGAGGCAGCAGUAGGGAAUCUUCCGCAAUGGGCGAAAGCCUGACGGAGCAACGCCGCGUGAGUGAUGAAGGUCUUCGGAUCGUAAAACUCUGUUAUUAGGGAAGAACAUAUGUGUAAGUAACUGUGCACAUCUCGACGGUACCUAAUCAGAAAGCCACGGCUAACUACGU
This 496-nucleotide ribosomal RNA is filed under the name uncultured bacterium. RNAcentral's name for it is "partial 16S ribosomal RNA". It matches the Rfam family "Bacterial small subunit ribosomal RNA", at positions 28 to 506 of the family's 1533-position model. The record is from RNAcentral.